RNA transcript from Acanthopagrus latus (yellowfin seabream), 1583 nucleotides. It is a transcript of the gene named BLOC-1 related complex subunit 8, with no coding region annotated. Lineage: Eukaryota; Metazoa; Chordata; Actinopteri; Spariformes; Sparidae. The record is from RefSeq and is a predicted model, not a curated record. The transcript has 6 exons.
CAUCGAGGCUCACGGUCCAAAUUGCGCCAACUUCCUUUUGAGAAAAACUGAAAGUAAAGAUUAAUUCAGAUCGCACGAUGGAGCCCGCUGGACGCCGAUGUGCACCGACACGCACUGCUCAUCUUCUCAGCUGAUUCGGCCGUACAAUUAAUCAAACAUUUUGACGAGAGGAAAAUAAUAAACGCGUGUGAUUCAACCCCGGCGUAUCGUCUCGCAGCUUUUUUUUCUUCGUACCCCUGUGACGGAAGAACUGUUUUUUUAAUAAUCGGUAUUUCUGUCCGGAACAUCGUCGUGUGACACAUGACAACAACAAUACGGAAGCGGGCGAGGAUCAGCUGACACGAGAGGCGCUGCGGCCGCACUGUCUUAUCAGUUUAACCUGCUUUCAUCGUCAUGGAGGACCAGGAGAUGCAACUCAAAGUCAGACGAGUGACUGACAAAUUCACGGAGAGCAUGUACGUCCUGGCUAACGAGCCGUCAGUGGCUCUGUACAGGCUGCAGGAGCACGUCAGGAGGUCCCUGCCCGAACUGGUGCAGCACAAGACAGACAUGCAGAGCUGGGAGGAGCAGAGUCAAGGAGCCAUCUACACUGUAGAGUAUGCAUGCAGCGCUGUGAAGAGCAUGACGAACAGCAGCAUGUACUUCAAAAAUAUCGACAGCCUCCUCCGUCAGGCCAUCAGCAUGAAGGAACAGAUAAGCAACUCUCAAGGACGCAGACACCUGCAUGAAGCUUACAUGAUGUGACCCCCUCUCCCAGUCCCCUUGUCUCUGCUCCACAUGCCCCAUCCACUUCUUCAUGACCUCUGGACAGAGGUGUCCAAGGAAAAGGACUAUGGACUCAAGCAUGCUAAAGGAAGGGGGAGAAAAGCACAGCACUGGGAUGUGACGUGACUUCCUGAGCUGUUGGUGUUGCCUCUACAGUCUCCUGCUCUGCUACCUCUUGGUUGAGGCUGAAGGGGAGGUCAUAAGGGCGACACCUCCUCAUCACAAUGGAGUGACUGCCUCCAGUGAGCCCCAUAGUACAAGCUGCUCAGUGGAACAGCGCACCACAGCACUGCCAGGUCCAGCAUUAAAAACACUUAAGUCAUGGACGCUGCUCAAAGAAUGCAUUGUUCUCUCAGAGUCUCUGGAAGGACCAGAGAGAAAGCGGCUGUGCUGGUUUUGCCCCUGCGGUUGAAAAAUCCACUGCACCGCCAAUGUUUUGGAUACUAGUUUUCAGGGUUUUGUGAGUUUGUUGUUAGAGGACUAAAAAGCACCCUGCAUGCAAAUUAUAAAAGCUUAAGACAUGUAAGAACAGUUCUAACUUGUUUUUCUGUACAUGCCAGAUUUGUCAACAUGUUCUUAAAGAGAAAAUCCAGAAUCUUCACUCUUUUGUUCUUACCUGACAGAUAAACAGAAACCCCUAGGCAGAACAAUCCAAUAGCCACAUGUCGCACAGCUCUGCUGUCCAAAAGAAACCAGUCUGCUCUGUGGAAACAAAUGUCAUGUGUUGAAUGUCGUGCCUGAGAUAUGUUUACACUUAAAACACUGCUACUGUAGUUUUCUCAUCACUGAAUAAAUGAAGAUGAUUUUAUGCAACAUCA